Nannospalax galili (Upper Galilee mountains blind mole rat) is the source of this 274-nucleotide unclassified non-coding RNA. Its record names the gene 7SK. It matches the Rfam family "7SK RNA". Rfam says of the family: 7SK was discovered as an abundant small nuclear RNA in the mid-70s but a possible function has only recently been suggested. Two independent studies have found that 7SK RNA binds the CDK9/cyclin T complex (known as elongation factor P-TEFb). NCBI's taxonomy places the organism in Eukaryota, Metazoa, Chordata, Mammalia, Rodentia, Spalacidae. The record is from Ensembl.
GGCUGUAAGAGUGAUCUAGCUGGUCAUAUGUCACCUCAUUGAUCUCCAGGCUUGAUUUACAUGAUCUGGCUGGUCAGGUGGGUGUCCCUUUCUCCCUCACAGCUCCAUGUGCAACCUCCUUAAGGCUGGGAACUCAAUCAAAGAGGACAACUAGUCUUCAGUCAAAGGUAUACAAGUAGUACUCCCCUGCUAGAACCUCCAAAUAAGUCCUCAGUAUUUGUUAGGCACACAGGAGUCAAAUGUCAGUCUGGUAAUGUGGCCUCUGUCUAAACAC